Molecule: ribosomal RNA, 253 nt
Filed under: uncultured bacterium
Lineage: Bacteria
Description: partial 16S ribosomal RNA
Rfam family: Bacterial small subunit ribosomal RNA
Source: RNAcentral
UACGGAGGGGGCUAGCGUUGUUCGGAAUUACUGGGCGUAAAGCGUACGUAGGCGGCUUUGUAAGUUAGAGGUGAAAGCCCGGAGCUCAACUCCGGAAUUGCCUUUAAGACUGCAUCGCUUGAAUCAUGGAGAGGUUAGUGGAAUUCCGAGUGUAGAGGUGAAAUUCGUAGAUAUUCGGAAGAACACCAGUGGCGAAGGCGACUAACUGGACAUGUAUUGACGCUGAGGUGCGAAAGCGUGGGGAGCAAACAGG